RNAcentral lists this ribosomal RNA (327 nucleotides) under uncultured eukaryote. Its description in RNAcentral is "partial 18S ribosomal RNA". It matches the Rfam family "Eukaryotic small subunit ribosomal RNA", at positions 1470 to 1796 of the family's 1831-position model. The record is from RNAcentral.
CCCUUAGAUGUUCUGGGCCGCACGCGCGCUACACUGACGGAGGCAGCGAGCGUGUCCUUCGCCGGCAGGUGCGGGCAAUCUUGCGAGUCUCCGUCGUGCUGGGGAUAGAUGGUUGCAAUUGUCGAUCUUGAACGAGGAAUGCCUAGUAAGCGUGAUUCAUCAAAUCGCGUUGAUUACGUCCCUGCCCUUUGUACACACCGCCCGUCGCUCCUACCGAUUGAAUGUGUUGGUGAGGAGCUCGGAUUGGCAGCAGUUGGUGGUUCGCCACCGGCUAUUGCUGAGAAGUCCUCCAAACCGCCCCAUUUAGAGGAAGGAGAAGUCGUAACA